RNAcentral lists this RNase P RNA (394 nucleotides) under candidate division WS5 bacterium. Its description in RNAcentral is "RNase P RNA component class A". It matches the Rfam family "Bacterial RNase P class A". From Rfam's summary of the family: Ribonuclease P (RNase P) is a ubiquitous endoribonuclease, found in archaea, bacteria and eukarya as well as chloroplasts and mitochondria. Its best characterised activity is the generation of mature 5'-ends of tRNAs by cleaving the 5'-leader elements of precursor-tRNAs. The record is from RNAcentral.
UGAGCGAGUCGGAUGGCUACCCGAAAGGGAGGAAAGUCCGGGCACCACAGAGCAUGGUAGUCACGAAAUGUGACCGGUUGAAAGGCCCGAGCCAGUGCCACAGAAACAAAACUGCCUAAGCCAAGCAAUUGGCCGGUGAUGGUGAAAAGAGUGGGGUAAGAGCCCACAGCAUUUGUUAGCGAUAACAAAUGGAGGUAAACCUUACCUGGUGCAAGUUCGGUGGGCCAAAGUUUUCCUAAGUUGUGUCAUAUAUCUUUGCGAAAGCAAGGAUUGGCUCUAAGUUAGAGAAGUGUUGCUCGCACUGGAAACUGCGGUCCGGACGCAUAGAUAGAUGGUCAUCGAAAUCCCGCCUUGGCGGGACGAACAGAACCCGGCUUAUAGACUCGCUUAGCAA